Molecule: long non-coding RNA, 4370 nt
Filed under: Populus trichocarpa (black cottonwood)
Lineage: Eukaryota; Viridiplantae; Streptophyta; Magnoliopsida; Malpighiales; Salicaceae
Description: long non-coding RNA (PTRI_LNC002598)
Source: RNAcentral
CAUAAAUGGGCCACAAGCACAGUGCAGGCUUUCUAUGGUGCUGUACAGACCCCACCCACCACAUAUUUUUACUCGCGCAUCCAUUAUAGUGGGGUAAAAGUGGUUUGCUGAUACUGUCUGAUAUGGUGAUUUGAGAGUAUAGGUUUUGGUUGCAUCUUGGUCUGUAUCCAUCACAAGGGGUUCACCUCUGAGAACAAAUGUCUCUUCUUUGCAGGACAUACAUUUUAUAUCCACCCAGUCCUUGCUACCCAUCUGGUAGAGCAUAAGGACCUUGGAAGAACCCUGCCAAAAUGCUGCCUAUAUAGGCACAUAUCAUAAUCUUCCUCACAUGGGUUUCACUUUGUGCCAACUUCCAUACGCCUGAUCAGUGUUACGAUGGACUUUUCAGGUCAGUGGGUACUCGUGCUAACACUAUUGUCCCCCAGUAUUUCAGCCAUUGACGUACGUCUGACUCCGAUUGUGAUAUGAUUUAGAAAAGGUAAGGGUGGUUUUGUUAUUCAAUAAUUUAGAGUAAUUACUUUUUUUAUUAAAAUCAAAUCAUCUUAUUAUUUUUUAAAAAAAAAAAUUGGUAUUGACUAUACAUGAUUAUAACCGGGUUAAUCGAAUUUCAAAUUAAUAUGUCAAAUUAACUAGAUUUAACCGAGUAAAUAUCUUGUUUUUUUGUUCAUCGGAAUAAGCUAGUUGGAAGAAGUCAAGUUUAUUAUCUAUAAUUUCACCAGGUUUUAUACUAUCCCUCUGGUGGAGUAGUCACAUGUAUACAGUUAUAAACUUUGUUGAUGCAUGGUGAAUUGUACUUUUUUAUCAUUAUCUUUCCCGUUUUCAGAAUUUUUGGUUUAUAGCUUUUGUAUCAUUUCGAAAUUAUCAUUUCGAAUUCGAGGUCCUACAUUGGUUAAACUCUAGUUACGACUACAAUAUUUCUUCAUCGGAUCGAUGCUUCAAGGCGCCGUUGGACCACAGCUGCUGGCAUCAUUCUUCUCUUUUCUUGAAUCAAUAUUUAGCUGUGGACAAAACUAAAUAAUCAUGGAGGUAGGUAACUAAAUAUCUGCGUAUAAAUGAUAUACUGUCAUAGCUAGCUUCUCCGUCGUGUUUCAUUUCCAUGCUAGUCUACGAGUACUCAAACUUUUUAACCUGCAAUGACCACACCCUUAUCUUCCUGGUGUUUUGAACCGAAAGCAAUGGUUUCAACUUUGAAGUGUAGAUGGGUGCGAUAACUUUAGGCUUUAGCAGUCUAGCGACUAGUUAGCUAAUUUUGGGGACCAGAUCUACAUUGGUAGAUUAAGCUAGCAUUAAUAUUGCAGUAAUUCAUAUUGUAGCUAAGCUAGGUAGGGAAAGAAAUUUCUAUGCGGCCUCUAAUUUUAAAAGGAUAAAUUCUGAAAAACUUCUGUGGUAAUAUAGACAUAGACAUGAUAUGUUGGGUUGAAGAAGCCUGUGCUGAAGAAGCAAGAGGAUAGUUGCCCCACAUGAAUGGCAAAGGGGGUGAUUGUUGGGUUGUUGCCAUUGCAUGUGCAGCAAAUGGACAGCACCAACCAUUGACUAUUGGCAGCCACCAUUGUUGAAGAAGAAGAGGAGUUGGCAGCCACCUUCGUUGAAGAAGAGCUGGAGUUGGCAGCCACCUUUGUUGACAAAAGAACAAGUGGAGCAGCACCAUUGUUGCCUAUAAAAGGGCACCGUGAGAGAGCAAAAUGCAAGAGAGAUGAGAGUGGUGAGAAUGUGAAGAGUAUAGAGAGAAAGUGGAGAGCUGCAAUGGCAGCAGCCUUGCUGCCAUUGCAGCAGCUGCAAGUGCAGCAAGAGAGCUGGGAGUUGAGUUUGAGUGAAGUGAUCCUCCUCCUCCAUGUAUUGUGUUGUAAUCCUUUCUCUAUCUCUAAAUAAUAUGGACUCUCUCCCGUGGAUGUAGGCGGUUUUGCCGAACCACGUAAAAUAUUGUGUCAGUGUGCUUUAUCCCUCCUAUGAGAAAAUAUCAGUACACCCCCGGUCCGCGCAUGGGGGAGCCGGAAUCCCCAACAUGAUAUACAUGUGACAUCAUAAAAGUUUAGAUAUAUGUGGCCUUAAAAUGUUCGAUCCAUGAUUUCUUCAUGAAAUUAACAUAAAAUUUGGUAGCCUUAUGAAAUUAGAUUUUCUUGGUGGUGAUGGUGGCAUUUCUACCGUAAAAUAGUUUUAACUCAAGCUCGUUUGUUUUAUUAAAAGUAAUUUGUAAAAUAUAAGUUUUUAAAUUUUUCUGUAUUUGUUUAACAUUAAAGAAUUAAUCAAUAAAAAACAUUUUCUAGUGAAAGAAAAAAUUGACUUGAUUUCUAGAAAAAAUUGACUUGAUUUCUAGAAAAAUAUUUUUAUUUUAUAUCGAGUGAAAAACACUUUCUAGAAGUUGAGAAAAAUUCAAAAAUAUCUUGUUAUUUGUUGAUUAUAUCAAAUUUAAUCCUUAAUUUUUUAUUACAAUAUUUGUUUUUUGAUUUUUUUUUAAUUUCAUCCCUUAAUCAGAAUUUGAUUUAAUUUUAUUUUUAUAUUAACUUUAGUCCUUAUUUUUUUAUUGUUAUUUGGUUUUCUCUUAUCUUUUUCUUAAUUGAAUUUUGUUAUCUAUCAAAUCUUUAUUUUUUUUGUUAUUUAUUUUAUUUAAAAUAAUUUAUAAAAUUAAAUUUUUUUUUCAAUUUCAUCAUCCUUUAACUAUUUUAUCUAUCAGAUUUGGUUUCUAUUCUUUUAAUAAACAUAAAAAAAUAAAUUAAAACAUCAAUAAUUUUUAACUUAUUUUUUUUAUGAUAUAGUCAAAUACUAUGAAGUUUUUUCCAAUUUAUUUUCUAUAGCACUACCAAACAUCAAGAAAUAAUUUACUUUACAAGAAUAAAUUUUUUAUAAAAAUCAUUUUUUAAAAAUAAACUAUUUUUCACCAGCAAACAAACUCAUACGUAGAGUCAUGAAACCCUAAAAUAUCACCAUGUAUUAUAAUGAUCAGAAUGAUCGGCACCUCUCUAGCUAGCACUAGAGAAUUUUCAAUGUCACAUGGAUCCGAUCCAAUUAGGAGCGUCUCACCUAAAAGGAGAAGGACAAUUCACCCAGUGCCAAGGACACACUAUUACCCUACCGCUCUAUGUCCUACUCCUAAUUUGUUUGGAGCGGCUUUCAUAGCUUCUAGUCAGGUGUGCAUUAGAAGUAGGACAUGGGCUGUCUCGGCUACCUGAGAUUUGUUUGGUUGCCAACAAGACUUUCGAUCUUUGAAGGUGACUUGUUAUCGAAAAGCUUUUUCAUGGAUGUAUAAUAUCAGUAAUUUGUUUGGGGGCACAAGCUGCCAUUGACAUUUUUUCAGUUCGUGUUCUCUAUAAUCCAAAUGAUUUGUGGGUUUGAGAAAUUUGUAGUGGGUUAGCAAGUGCAGCUGACUUCAACUAAUAGAUGGACACUGCUUGUAUUGAUUUUUCUAAGAAAACUUGACCGAAUUCAUAUAUAUGGAUAAACAUUGCUUGUUUUGAACCCAAAACGUUAAACUAUUAGAUUAUGUAGGCACCUCGCUCUCUCCACUCAUAUCCUAUAUGAAAUAUUCUAGCUCUCGUAUCUAACUACCGCACUUGAAAAAUUGUUACGCACGUAGAUCCAAUCAGAUGAUCGGUAUUAUGAUGAGCGGAACCCGCAAGAAUUAGCAUAGGUGGGAGGCUUGAGGAGGAUAGAUUUGUGAAUCUCAAACCCUUGUCAUUGAUUUCAGGUUUUCUCAUGCCUUGAGAUUAAUUAGUACUAUUAACAAUGUGCAAAUCUGAGUCACCUCGGAGAUCGAAUAUCACAUAAAUGCCAGACCCCAUUCUGCCGUCAUACAAGCACUGGAGGGGCAUUCAUUUCCUUCCAUAAAAGGCGAUAAUUGGCGCUUUGAUGGACUUCAUCUUGGGUGUAUAUGCGUGGUCCUGUUGGGUUUGCAAUUUCCGCAGAGAGAACUCGGUCCAUGCACUUUGGUUGGUUGGAGAGCAUGCACAUCUCUUUUUGUUACUGUUUGCCGUUCCUUCUUCUCUCUAUUGCCUGGUUUAGCCAAAGCAAACCCUCUUUGCCUUUUGAUCUUGUUGCUUCAUCUUUAACAAGAUAUAUUUUCUUCCAUGCCGCAUGAGGUCUGUACGUGCAAAGAUGAACAAAGAAUUUUAGAGUGAAAAUAAAGCAUCCAGUCAAAUAAGAUUUUUUUAUAUAUAUCACCAUGGCGUGACAAUAUUGCCUGGGUUAACUUUUAACUCGUAAAUGUAAUUAAAUAAUAGGUAAAAAAAAUUAAACCAUGCAUGGAACUAAUAAUCCCAUGUUGUUACAUAAGUCAUUUGUAGAUCAAAAUUUUAAGUGCCUGGGUGAUAUCCAACCAGCUGCUCCAAAAUAAUUUACCUCUUUCAAAAUGAAGAUGAUCGAUCGAUGCAAUCAGU